CCAAACGGCCACACUAAACCAAACGUGUUGCUCAAAAAGCUUCCUCUUUUCUGGUUUCUGGUCUAGCCAGUAACUGCCUGUUUUGGGGAGAACAAACUUUAAGAAAAUGUCAUCGGAUAAGGGGAAACGCUUGCCGGAAACUGAUGGUGGCGGUUUGAACUUCGAGGCUACCGAGUUGACUUUAGGUUGCCCGGGGAGUCUAGAGUAACGUCGGACGGUGGAGCUAAGGUGGGCAGUAAACGUGGGUUUUCCGUUGAUCUUAGCCUAGGUGACAACAAAGACACCAAUAAGUUGGAACAGUCCCAGAUUGAUGUCCGAGAAGCCAAUAAAUCUCCUGUGUCAAAGGCGCAAGUGGUGGGUUGGCCGCCGGUGAGGGUAUGCAAGGAGAGGGAAGAAGAGUUGCAAAUAUAUAAAGUGGCGGUGGACGGAGCUCCAUAUUUAAGGAAAGUUGAUAUCGAGAUGUACGAUAGUUACGGCAUUGACUUCCCUUGAAGACAUGUUCUCGUGUUUCAUAAGGAAUUGUUUGAAUGAUAAGAAACUGGACCAAGUGAAUGGAAUUGAGUAUGUGCCUACAUAUGAGGAUAAGGAUGGGGACUGGAUGCUGGUCGGAGAUGUACCAUGGCAAAUGUUGUUGAAUCUGUAACGUUUGAGGUUAAUGAAAGCUCGGAAGCAAUUGGAUUAGCUCCAAAAAGCCAAAGCUGAAUAAAAUAAGCCUUUUAAAUGAAGUAUCCAAGAACGGAACUACAAAUUUCUGUGCAGAGAGGCCUUUUGUUUUUGUUUCUAACUUGUGUACCUUGAUGAUGGUGGGCGAUGACUAGUUUUAGACGGUCGAGUUGAAAGAAUAAAUAAAUGAAAUAAGAUAAUUUAAUUUUUAUUUUUUUCUCCUUUUUUUUCUCUCUCUGUAUUCAUCAUUUUAACGAGUGGGUGAUAAUUCAGACUUAA
This is a long non-coding RNA of Hibiscus syriacus, 942 nucleotides long. RefSeq lists it as uncharacterized. The record is from RefSeq and is a predicted model, not a curated record. NCBI's taxonomy places the organism in Eukaryota, Viridiplantae, Streptophyta, Magnoliopsida, Malvales, Malvaceae. The transcript has 5 exons.